Molecule: ribosomal RNA, 255 nt
Filed under: uncultured bacterium
Lineage: Bacteria
Description: partial 16S ribosomal RNA
Rfam family: Bacterial small subunit ribosomal RNA
Source: RNAcentral
UACGAAGGGGGCUAGCGUUGUUCGGAAUUACUGGGCGUAAAGCGCGCGCAGGCGGCUAUCCAAGUCAGUGGUGAAAGCCCGGAGCUCAACUCCGGAACUGCCAUUGAAACUGUUUAGCUUGAGGACGAGAGAGGUGAGUGGAAUUCCCAGUGUAGAGGUGAAAAUUCGUAGAUAUUGGGAAGAACACCGGUGGCGAAGGCGGCUCACUGGCUCGUAUCUGACGCUCAGGCGCGACAGCGUGGGGAUCGAAACAGG